GAGAGAGGAAGGGCGGCUCACGCACCGAAAGGUGUGAGGAAAGUCCCCCCACCGUUUGGACGCGCGGGCGUCCGCAAGGGCGCAGGGCGAGAGUCCUGGCAAUUGCACAGAAACGCCACCGCCCCUCAUGAGGGCGAUGAUUCCGAAAGGAUGAGGUCGUGAGGCGGCGGAUGAAACGGCAAACCCCGCGGGUGCAAGUGGGGAGUAUGGUGGACGUCCAACCACCACCCCGUUGUACGCUAAGCCAAAUGCCGCCAGAACAGAAGGGGGCUUACUCUCCUCACUC
This 286-nucleotide RNase P RNA is filed under the name Methermicoccus shengliensis. RNAcentral describes it as "RNase P RNA component". It matches the Rfam family "Archaeal RNase P". From Rfam's summary of the family: Ribonuclease P (RNase P) is a ubiquitous endoribonuclease, found in archaea, bacteria and eukarya as well as chloroplasts and mitochondria. Its best characterised activity is the generation of mature 5'-ends of tRNAs by cleaving the 5'-leader elements of precursor-tRNAs. Lineage: Archaea; Methanobacteriati; Methanobacteriota; Methanomicrobia; Methanosarcinales; Methermicoccaceae. The record is from RNAcentral.